This is a non-coding RNA of Takifugu rubripes (torafugu), 45 nucleotides long. The record is from Rfam. NCBI's taxonomy places the organism in Eukaryota, Metazoa, Chordata, Actinopteri, Tetraodontiformes, Tetraodontidae.
GCCACGGCCCUCUUCAGGGCCACCCUCAGCUGCUGGUGGAAGAUG